GUUAUUAUUUCUUAACGCACCAGCAGGGUCAGCUGCUGCGCUGCAGGGCCGGCCCUCCCCACCGACCUCCCCAGGGGAACGGCCCCCUCUUCAAACCCCGCCCGCGGGGCCCCGCUCCCCGCCUGGGACCCUGCCAGGCCUGGCGAGGGCAGCGCGGCGGGAGGAGGUCUCCCGGUACGCCCCUCCUCUCCGGGCAGCCCUGAAGAACCAGGGCCGGGGCACGUUUCCGCGCACAGCGGCCGAGCGGUCCCGCCCCGAGGCGGGGAAGAGAGGGGCGGGAGAUGGGGGGGGGGGGGGGAACCCUUUCGUGCCCCGGAACCUUCUUGCCGCCCCUCCCGUUUCCUGCCGGAGCAGCGCGCCGCCGGUCGCUAUGGCAGCGGGACCGUGGGGCUGGGGGCCGGCGGUGUUGCUGGUGCUGCUGUUGGCGCUGCUGCUCGGUGGCGCGCGCCGCCUGCGGCGCCGUUACGCGGCCGGCGGGGCUGGCCCCUCCCUGAGGGGAAGGGGAAGGGCGGCGGCGGCGGCGCGGGCGGAUGGCGUCCGCGCGUUGCUGGUGACGGCGCACCCCGAUGACGAAGUGAUGUUCUUCGCCCCCACGGUGCUCGGCUUGGGCAGGGCCGGCGCCCACGCCGCGGUGCUGUGCUGCUCCGCAGGAAAUUAUUACAAUCAAGGAGAAAUUCGUAAGAAAGAGCUGGAACAGAGUUGUUUUCUUCUGGGAAUUCCUGCUUCCGAUGUAACAGUCGUUGAUCACAGGGAUCUUCCAGAUAAUCCUGCUGUUGAAUGGGACACACAGCUCCUUGCUGCCUUCGUGCUAAAGCAUAUAGAAGCCAAUAACAUCAACCUGGUGGUAACCUUUGAUGCAGGAGGAGUGAGUGGUCAUGCUAACCACAUUUCUCUUUACACUGCUUUAAGACAGUGCAGGGAUCAAAGCACAGAGCCACAGAGCAGCUCUGUCAACUGGAAGAUCUCUGCAUCAACACCUUUUUUUCUGACUGGCAGAAGCAUCUUUUGCCACUGCAAUAUGCGUACCUGCAUUCAGAGCAGAAGUUACCUGAAGGGUGCUGUGUGUUCGUGCUUGAAUCAGUAAAUCUCUUCCGGAAGUACAUCUCUGUCCUGGAUGUACCCGUUUCCUGCCUCCUGCCCAGUGAUGCACUCUUCAUACUCACAGAGGAGGAGACUGAACAAGCCAGGAGAGCCAUGCGGUGUCAUCGCAGCCAGCUCCUCUGGUUUCGCCACAUCUAUAUGCUUUUCUCACGUUAUAUGGUGAUCAAUUCACUCCGCCUUCUGUGAAAGACACAUCGCUCACAACUUCAGGACUAAAAGAAUAAGUGAAAAAAAAAAAAAACAUGCCAGGCCCAGGACUAAGGAAAACUUACAUGCUCAAGAGGACAGGAUUCUCUUUGUGUAGCAUUCUUUCAGACUACAGAAAACAGGCUGUAUGAACUUCCUUCUGAAUAUCUUGUUGCCUGAUACAUUGAGAUGAACAGGGUUUAACAGCUACUCUAUUUUCUCACUGUAGAAGCUUAAAUAGGAUAAGAAAUUUGGAUUAACCUAAUUGGGAGUCAAAUGCACGAGUAAUCUUCAUUAGAGAAGAUAUGGCACAAACUAUUUUUCCCCAAGAGGAUAUAGCUGCGAGGACUGCUUGGUGACUAUCUCUUGGUGCUUUUCUAAAAUCCAGAUAUCACUUCAAAGAUCAUGCUAUCUCCACAGAUAAAACCAGAACCACAAGACCUGUCUUAUUUAGUCAGAACUUUAAAAAGCCAAAGCUUAUGAAUAAAACAUCAGAAAUCCCA
This is an RNA transcript of Aquila chrysaetos chrysaetos, 1790 nucleotides long. It is a transcript of the gene named phosphatidylinositol glycan anchor biosynthesis class L, with no coding region annotated. The transcript has 8 exons. NCBI's taxonomy places the organism in Eukaryota, Metazoa, Chordata, Aves, Accipitriformes, Accipitridae. The record is from RefSeq and is a predicted model, not a curated record.